This 716-nucleotide ribosomal RNA is filed under the name Borrelia miyamotoi. RNAcentral describes it as "bacterial SSU rRNA". It matches the Rfam family "Bacterial small subunit ribosomal RNA", at positions 45 to 754 of the family's 1533-position model. Lineage: Bacteria; Pseudomonadati; Spirochaetota; Spirochaetia; Spirochaetales; Borreliaceae. The record is from RNAcentral.
CGUCUUAAGCAUGCAAGUCAGACGGAAUGUAGCAAUACAUUCAGUGGCGAACGGGUGAGUAACGCGUGGAUAAUCUACCUACGAGAUGGGGAUAACUAUUAGAAAUAGUAGCUAAUACCGAAUAAGGUCAAUUGAGGUGUUAAUUGAUGAAAGGAAGCCUUUAAAGCUUCGCUUGUAGAUGAGUCUGCGUCUUAUUAGCUAGUUGGUGGGAUAAGAGCCUACCAAGGCUAUGAUAAGUAACCGGCCUGAGAGGGUGAUCGGUCACACUGGAACUGAGAUACGGUCCAGACUCCUACGGGAGGCAGCAGCUAAGAAUCUUCCGCAAUGGGCGAAAGCCUGACGGAGCGACACUGCGUGAACGAAGAAGGUCGAAAGAUUGUAAAGUUCUUUUAUAAGUGAGGAAUAAGCUUUGUAGGAAAUGACAAAGUGAUGACGUUAAUUUAUGAAUAAGCCCCGGCUAAUUACGUGCCAGCAGCCGCGGUAAUACGUAAGGGGCGAGCGUUGUUCGGGAUCAUUGGGCGUAAAGGGUGAGUAGGCGGAUAUGCAAGUCUAUGUGUAAAAUACCACAGCUCAACUGUGGAACUAUGCUGGAAACUGCAUGACUAGAGUCUGAUAGGGGAAGUUAGAAUUCCUGGUGUAAGGGUGGAAUCUGUUGAUAUCAGGAAGAAUACCAGAGGCGAAGGCGAACUUCUAGGUCAAGACUGACGCUGAGUCAC